UUGAGAAAAAAACACAGUUUGAUUGGUACCCCCGGUAUACAAUGAAAAUUUACCUGUUUAGUAACAAUAUUAUUACAGUGGUAUUGUUAAAGAAUCAGGCUAUAACAUGUACAAAAAAUCACUUAAAUCGGCCAACAGGUUUAGGAAAUAUGAGACAUCAAAAAUGACCAAAUUUUUAAGUGGGCCGAUUUCUAUGCACGUAAGUUUAGUAACACGCUAAUUAACCGUAUUUUGUUUAUCCUGCCAAGAAACCUACUGAUCUAGAACGUUUGCUGAAAAAAUUUACAGUGCAUAAUAAUUAAGAAUGCGUAUCAAGAAAACAAAAUCAAAAAUAUUUAUCCACUAAAAACCAGGAGGUAUCUGCUCUAAAAUACCGUCAUUUGGGUAAAUCGUGUAUGAUCCUAUUUUAUUUUUUGUUUUGUUUUGUUUUAAUCGCUUUGAAAUAUUAUUAACAAAUAUAAUUUCACUCUGCGGACACUUCAAAAAGGUGGGUUAUUUUUUUUAUUAAACAAUUUGUGAAAAAAAUUUGAAAAAUUCAGUUUUCUUUUCUCUUUUUCGUUGGGAUAUCUCGGCAACUAUGCAUUUUCGAAAAAUUUUGCGAAGACAAUAGGAUUUGAAAUUAAAUUUUCUUCAAGAUAGAUUUGAUUACAAAUUGAAAAAAUAAUUAUUAAUAUUGCAAAAUUAGCAAAAAUCGUUAAAAAUCAAUGCUUUUUCAAUAACCUUUUUCAGGUAUUUAAAAGCCACAAAGAACCUUCUAAAUUUACCCAGAAACUCUUUUUAAUAUAAAAAAUAUUGCUACAAAAGAUUUCAGCAUAAUCGAUCAAGUAGUUUUCGCAAAAUAAUUUUGCAAUCUAAAUUUUUGUAAAAAAAAAAGAAUGUGCGUGUACUUUGUACGCACGUAAGAAGUUAUACUUCUAUUAUAUGAUUUCAACGAAAUAAAUAUACUUUGAACAGGUUAUUUGUAUUUAAAGAUUAAACUAAUUUUUACUUACUACUUUCCAAAAAUUUUUACUAAAACAAUACUAAAAAUAAAAAAAAGUUGGAUAACACACGGAAUUGAACCAGGGACCUCUCGAUCUCCGGUCGAACGCGCUACCGCCGAGCCAAACUCCCUUUGCUUUGACAGCUUACAAGAUUUCUCAUACAUACUGACAAAUUCAAUAGACCAAGUGAAAAAAUACUUUAAAAUUUAAAGUAAAUAUACAAACUAUUAUUAUAAAAUAUUUUAUUCCCGAGGAAGACAAAUCCAAAGACACAAAAAUUAUAAUAAAUAAUACAUUUACUAAAAACACUAAUAUAUUCUUUUAAUGACUUAUUUGCGCUGAUACAUACGUAAUUUGAAAGAUUAGCAACGAACUACAUAUUGUCUGUCUGCGCAUGCGCCAGGCAAGUAUAAAAUUUCACCCUCGAUCGUAAAGAAGUAUAACUUCAAAAAGUUAUUAAUUUUGAAAAUUAUGAGAAACCAAACAAAGAGUUAUAAAAUACUUGAAAAAAUUUUUACAUGUAAAAGGGCAUUCAAGCUUUUAUAUAAAAUUCGAAUCAAUGAAACCCGUUGAAUAGGAGAACCUAUUUUUUAAGGGGAAUUUUUUAAAGAACUAUAAAAUUUUUAAGCUAAUAAAUAAAUAGAAUAGCUUUUUCAAUUUUAAAUUAACAUUUCUAAACUUAUAUCGAAAGUUCAGCGAAAGACGCAUAUUUAAAAAAACAUUAAAAUUGGUAAAUUAAUUCCAAAGUUAUGAUCAAAGUUGACUAGCAUUUAAAGUAAAUAUUAAUUUCUUACUUCGGAUACUUUCACAAUUAUCUUGUAGAUGGCGCUAAGAUUAAUAGAUUAAUUUUAUAAUUACAUAUUACGGAACAUUAAAAAAACUUAAAUUCAGUAUUUAAAACGUAAUUAUAUUUAAGGUAAAAAUAUAUACCACAGCUUUGACCAACUAAUAUUUUUUAUAAUUAAUGUUUUUAUUUUUAAUUUUAAAUUAAUCACUUUGACAUUUAUGUCAAAUUUCCAGUAAACGUUUACAGACUUGUCACUACUGGCGCUCGCGAAUUGUUAAAUAUCCACUCUACGUACGAGCUCACAGCGUAUAGGAUAUACACAUUAAAAAUACAGAAAAAUCGACGAGAGGCAGUGGUGGAGAUAGUAAUUUCAGUUUUCUCAAAAAUGAAAUCAUGAGUUCAAAAUUGCGACGGGCUUAAAAAUUUCAAUUAUUUCAGUUUUUAGACGACCUAUUUUAAGCAUUUUUUUUUCAAAUUUGGUCUCGUGAGUUAACUUUUAAACAUGAUACUUUUAAAAGCGUAUACUUAUUUAUUUGCCAUGAUUUUACGUAUAAAUGAAUAUUCACUUGCAAAAUUUUGUAUUUUUCCUUUUUUUUCGUUCGUUAGGGCUACAAUAUCAAUGUUAUAUGUAGUAUUGUUUAUCAAUUACUGUAAAUUAAUAUUAUAAUAAUAGGUAUGUUUUAAUAUUUUAAAUCUUUAAAUUUUAAAUAAAAGUAUUCAACUGAUUUCAAUGAUUCGACAUUUAUUUGAAAGAUUUAUUGAUGUAAACAUUUUUAAGUAUUUAAAACCGUUUUUUUUUGUUGACUGUGCAUAAUUUUGCAAAAUAACUUUUUUCAAAACUUAGAUUACAAAAUUAUUUUGCGAAAACUGCUUGAUCGAUUAUGCUCAAAUUUUGGGUAGUUUUAUAUUAGAGCUAUUCCAGACCAAAUCAACACACUUUGAAUUAAUUUAUUUCCUGACCUAUUUAAAUUUUGUUAAAAUUUAGAGUACCUACUCACAGUGGAUGAUUAGUUGAAGAAAAAUACAAAAUUUUAAAUUUUUAUCUCAAACCGUUUCCGAAAUAUGGUUAUGUAAAGUUUUCAAAAAAGGUCCAAAACACCGCGACAAUACUUUAUUGGAAUGGUUGUAGAAGCUGACCUGAUUGAGCUAGAAUGCUGGGAGAGGUUUCAUUUUGCAACAUUUUUAAAGCUCUUUACAUGAUGCUCCGAUAAACAAGUUUUUCUCAAACAAAAAAAAUAUAUUUUGAUUAGGUUUUUUUUCCAAAAAGUACAUAAUUUAAAAUUAUCAUAAUAUUCCUAUAAAUACAUAGUACUGUUGUUAAUAACAUAUAAAAAUUUUAUCAUGGGAUGGUGAUGGGUUCAACAUAAAAAAAAAUAAAUUUCAUACAUACAGUAUGGUGCAAAUAAAAGGAAUAGAUUCGUGAUGUCGCAAGCUGGCAACUUUAAGGAAAAAUCCCAAAACAGGUCGAUUUUUAUUUUUAAAUUGUAAUUUUAUUUGGCAUAUGUAUCAUACUAGUGACGUCAUCCAUCUGGGCGUAAUGACGUAAUCGAUGAUUUUUUAAAUGAGACUAUAAGUCGUGUGUUAGCUCAUUUGAAAGGCUAUUUCUAUAUUCAGUAAUAUAAACAAUAAUAUAAUUAAAAUAUAAAGUUUUAUGGUAUACAUUUUUAUUUAAUAAUAUAAUUAUUUAUACAGGGUGACAAAGUUUUUAUUUAAAUUAAAUUGAUUGACAAAAAAAGAAGAAUGUAUGUAAUUUAUUUAAUUUAAAAUGGAUUUUACUGUUGCUAGAAACAGAUAAAUUACAUAUAUUCUUUUUUUUGUCAAUUAAUUUGAUUUAAAAAACUUUUUUGCCACCCUGUAUAAAUAAUUAUAUUAUUGUUUAUAUUACUGAAUAGAAAAUGGAAUAGCCUUUCAAAUGAGAUAACACAUGACCUAUACUCAUUUAAAAAUCAUCCAUUACGUCAUCACACCCAGAUGGAUGACGUCACUAGUAUGAUACAUAUGACAAAAAAUUACAAUUUAAAAAUAAAAAUCGACCUGUUUCGGGAUUUUUUCUUAAGGCCGGCCAUUGGUAAUGUUACAAGUAUAGGCGAUCCCAUCACCUUUAUAAAGUACACCACUCAUAAUCUAGAGCAUAUAUGUAUACCGAAAAAUGCUUACCCUACUAACAAUAUAUCUCGCUAAUUACAGCCAUAUUUUUGCUACCCUACCUGUUGUGUAUUGUUUAUAAAAAAAUGUGAAAGUUUUGCUUUUUUCUCAAUAAAUAUAAGAGCGUUUAUAUCUAAAUUACUCAAGUAUUUAAAUGAAUUUCAUGAUAAAAGUCCGUUUAGCACUAGCCUAUAUGUAACGGAAGGAUGUAACGUUAAAAAAAUGUGAAUUAAUAAAGUACUUUUUGCGUGGUGUACUUUUAAAAUAAAUUUCUGGAAUUAAUAGAAAUUGGCAUGUGAAACGUAAAUCUUGUACAUAUAAUACACAAAAAGUAUAGGAAUCUGUAAGAAUCUAAGCUCUGUUAAUGUAGCAAUUAUGUAUAAGAUGGCGCUACGAAAAAAAUUAAAUAAACAUCAAAAAUUCAGGAGCGUAAUGGCCCGUUUGAAACUUUCCUUAGGAAAUUUCGGUACUUGACAAAUAUGAGUUUAUUAGGGGUCCGGACAAAUAAUCCCCGGACAAAUAAUCCCGGACAAAAAAUCCCCACAAAUUAUCCCCGGACAAAAAUCCAAGGACAAAAAAUCCCCACAAAUAAUCCUCACAAAUAAUCCCCACAAAUAAUCCCCGGACAAAUAACCCCCACAAAAAAUCCCGGACAGAUAAUCCCCACAAUUUUUUUUUGACAAAAUAUCCCCGCAAAAAAUCCCCAAGAAAUAUUUUUGCCGAAUAAAGUUGUCAAAUGAAUGCUUAUAAUCCAAGGAUGGUACUAAAGAUGAGAAAUUUAGACUGUCUGUCCGUCGGUACGUCCGACCGCGCAUAUAACUACUCCGUCAUUAUGCCAGGUAGAAUGACACAUGAGGGGUCGAAUGAACGGUUAUAAUCCAACAAUGGUACUACAGAUGAGCAAUUUGGUCCGUCGGUCUGCUUGACCACGAAUAUAACUCCUCCAUCACUGUACCAGGUAGAAUGACAAAUGAGGUGUCGAAUGAAAGCUUAUAAUCCAAGGAUGGUACUAAAUAUGAGAAAUUAGACCAAGGCUGUCUGUCCAUCGGUCCGUCCGACCGCGAAUGUAACUACUCCGUCAUUAUGCCAGGUAGAUUGACAAAUGGGGUGUCGAAUGAACGGUUAUAUUCCAACGAUGGUACUAAAGAUGAGCAAUUUGGUCCGUCGGUCUGCCUGACCGCGAAUAUAAGUCUUCCGUCACUGUACCAGGUAGAAUGACAAAUAAGGUGUCGAAUGAAAGCUUAUAACCAAGGAUGGUACUAAGGUUGAGAAAUUUGACCAAGGCUGUCUGUCCAUCGGUCCGUCCGACCGCGAAUGUAACUACUCCGUCAAUAUGCCAGGUAGAAUGACUAAUGACGUGUCGAAUGAAUGGUUAUAAUCCAACGAUGGUACUAAAGAUGAGAAAUUUGAUCCGUCGGUGUGCCUGACCGCGAAUAUAACUCCUCCGUCACUGUACCAGGUAGAAUGACAAAUGAGGUGUCAAAUGAAAGCUUAUAAUCCAAGGAUGGUACUAAAGAUGAGAAAUUAGACCAAGGCUGUCUGUCCAUCGGUCCGUCCGACCGCGAAUGUAACUACUCCGUCAUUAUGCCAGGCAGAAUGACAGAUGAGGUGACGAGUGUACAGUGAACGGUUAUAAUCCAACCAUGGUACUCAAGAUUCACGCACGCAUUUCUUUUCCGAAAGUUGCACUUUCACGCACGACUUGCGGGAAAGUCAAAUACCUUGUAAUAUUGCAUUAUAAUAUAUUAUAAUACAUGCAAUAAACUAAUAUUGAAAGUUUGUUUUUGACAACCUUGUCAAAUAAUUGAUUUGUGUAUUUUCACUUCUAAAUAAAAAUUUUUUUGUGGCUUUUUCCAAACGUACGGCCCUAGAAUAAAUAUUAUUCCUAACUCGUGCGGAAAGUGUGUUCCUCGCACUCGAAUGCCUGCCCGAACUCCGCUAUCGCGUCGUUCGGGUCAACGACAGUCUCGUGCGUGAAAUUAUCACUUUCCGCACUAGUUAGGAAAAUAACUAUUUAAUGAUGUCGAUAUUUUCCAAGUUAUGGGGGGAAAUAGUGACAGUUAGAGGUUAGAGUUAGAGCAUAACUAUUGAAUUGUCUCGUUAAUUAUGAGUUUUACGACAAAAAUGUAGGUACCUAUAAUACAAAAAUAGAACUUAGUAGAUAGAAUUAACUUUUACAUAAUUUUGAAUUUUGAUCUCUUUCAUUUUUUUUACGAAUAUUUAAAAUUGUUUCAAAUAUGAUUUCCUACAAUUAUUUCUUUUUGACAAUUUUUUUCGUGCGGUUGAUAUUUUCCGAGUUAGCGGGAAUAUAUUAAAAAGGGGUGGGGGAGCAUAAUUAUUGAAUUGAAUCUUGUUUCCGAGCUGCCCCAAAUUUUAUAAUUCUAACCUUUAGGGGAGGUCAAUAGUGGUGUAAAUUUAAAAUUGCGACUGAAUUCCGCUGAAGGGUUAGCCGUCAUAUUGAUUUUAAAGGAGAACCGUUGAUGCUAAAUACCUCCACCAUUUUCAACUUUUUUGCUCUACUGCUCAUUAUUUAUAAUAGUUCCCAGGUAGCAAGACUGUUUAACGCGCUCUAUCUGAAUCUGCGUUCCAUUAGUGUGCAGAUGGGUUAUAGGUAUAGAUAGGGCUAUUAUAGCAAUCGCCAUUAAACCGGUUUUUGGUACGAAAAUAGUGAUUAGCAAUUAAAUUUAAGCAUGAAUUGUAAUUUCGAUUACCAAAUAUCGAAUUCCAAUUGUGAGUUCUUUCAAAAAUCGUGCAUGCAGCACUCUGCUUUGAAUAACCCUGUUCAAAACAUCCUAUUUGUGGUGAUAAUUGCUUGUCCUGAAAACGAUAAUCUUGAUUGUAAUACAAAAAAACCUAUUCAUUUUUGUAAUUUCAAAAGUAUUUGCUCAUCAUCAUCAUCAAUGGCGUUAUAACUCUUCGAGACUCUGCCACAUUUUUUAUUAUUUAAAAUCAAUACAGCUGCCCACGAUGUGAUAUUUGAUACCGUUCACGUUAUCAACACCAGUAAUAAAAAUUUAAUGUGUUUCUCGGUCGAUGAUCGAAAUGCCACAUCAGCGACUUGUUAAUUAUUGUGUUUUGACUGGAAUAAGAAUGUGAAUUUUAACCGAAUUUUUAACGUGCUAACAAAUUGCACAUACAAUUUUUUUUUGUUUAUGCGUAUUUUUUAUUAUAAUAAAUAUGUUGAUUUUCACCCAUUCGUGAGCAAAAAAUUGGUUGUUUUGACUUCUGAGUAAUACCAAAAAGUCAAAAAUCGUUAUAACUGAAAAAACUCGACAGAGUUAUGCUCGAUAAACUCAUAAUACUCAUAAAGCUAAUAAAAUAUUUUUGAUCUUUUCGUUUCACAUGAUUCACUGAGCGUUGGCUUAUUUUUUAAUAUUUUUCCUUAUUUUUUUUUUAAUUCAUUGAAUUAUAGCGUUGAUUGAGAUAUUAGAGGCCGUCCAAUAUAUCAAUCAACGAUUAUAGUGAAUAUGCUUAUUUAAUUUAAAAAUAAAAUAAUUCUAUCCUCUUCUUCUUGCUGUGCCUGUCCGUGACGAAUGUUGGCGAUCACCAUGGCAUGGCAAUCUUUAUUGUAUCUGCAGCAAUGCAGGAAAGCUUCACAUAUGCUGAGUUGAACCAGGUUCUGAGGUUCUUUAACCAGGAUGUUCUUCUUCUUCCUGGACCUCGCUUUCCAAAUAUUUUUCCUUGCAGAAUGGCUUGUAGGAGGGCAUAUCUGGAUUAAUUUCGCAUAAUGUGUCCAAAGUAUUCCAACUUUUGAGAUUUGAUGGUGGUUAAUACUUCUCGGUUUUUCCCCAUUCUUCUGUAAGGACCUCCUCAUUUGUGACCCGAUCAGUCCAUGGGAUUUUAAGAAUUCCAUUAUAAGUUCAAAAAAAAUUCAAAAAAAUAUGCUUGAAAUAUUUAUUUCAAACUCUAAGCUCACCCCACCUUAAGGAUAGCUAUGACACGAAUUUGAUAGGCAAGCCAUGCAAGUCGUUUUUGUCUAUGUAUGAAAUUUAAUAAAAAAAUGUCUCAUCCGGAAAGCAGAUGGGUGCAGGUCGACCUAUAUUCGGAUCUUAGACUAUAACGUAUAUGUAUAUAUGAUAUUUGAGUGAUAUAAUUUCGUAGAGUUUUGCUAUCAGCCGUUGAUGAUUUGCUGAUGAACGCUACUCGUGUUAUUUCUUUCAGUUCAUGUUCACAAGAGCAUGUGUUAACAAGUAAUUGGACUUCGUAAGUCCUAGGUUUUCAUCCAAAGUAAUCGAAAGUAGAACUGGAAGUCGAUAUUUUAACUCUUCGUGUAACUUUGCGUCGAUUCAUAUACGAUUUUACUAAUUUUGGAUCAUAUUCAUUUACAUUAAUAUCAUACUUUGAGUCACUUUAAAACAGAUACUUGCGGUUGCAACUCUAAAACUGAAGUCCGAUGUUAAAUUACUCAUCUUGUGUUAAAUUACAUACCAUCCUUGUGUUAUAAUCUUUUAUUCGAAACCUCAUUAUUUGUCAUUAUAUCUGUAUUAAUACGGAGGAGUUGUAUGUAGGAGGACAGACGGAAAGACACUCAUGAAACCGGAAGUACAUAUAUGUUCUCGCCUUGCGAAGGCUCGUCGAAUAAUAUAUCACUUUUACUAUUCCGGUGACUUUAAAACAGUAUUUCCGGUCCCAUUUGUAAAACCGGAAGUCCUUUAUCAAAUUUCUCACCUUUAGUACCAUCCUUGGAUUAUAAGCUUUCAUUCGACACCUCAUUUGUCAUUCAACCUGGUAUAGUGACGGAAGAGUUAUAUUCGCGGUCGGACGGACCGACGGACAGACAGCCUUGGUCAAAUUGCUCAUCUUUAGUACCAUCCUUGGAUUAUAAGCUUUCAUUCGACACCUCAUUUGUCAUUCUACCUGGUACAGUAACGGAGGAGUUAUAUUCGCGAUCAGGCAGACCGACGGACCAAAUUGCUCAUCUUUAGUACCAUCGUUAGAUUAUAAUCGUUCAUUCGAAACCUCAUUUGUCAUUUUCCCUGGCAUAAUGACGGAGAGAAGUUACAUUUGCGGUCGGACGGACAGAUGGACAGACAGCCUUGGUCAAAUUUCUCAUCUUUAGUACCAUCCUUGGUUAUAAGCUUUCAUUCGACACCUUAUUGGUCAUUCUACCUGGUACAGUGACGGAGGAGUUAUCUUCGCGGUCAGGCAGACCGACGGACCAAAUUGCUCAACUUUAGUACCAUCGUUGGAUUAUAAUCGUUCAUUUAAAACCUCAUUUGUCAUUUUCCCUGGCAUAAUGACGGAGAAGUUACAUUCGCGGUCGGACGGACAAAUGGACCGACAGCCUUGGUCAAAUUUUUCAUCUUUAGUACCAUCCUCGGUUAUAAGCUUUCAUUCGAAACCUUAUUCGUCAUUCUACCUGGUACAGUGACGGAGGAGUUAUAUUCGCGGUCAGGCAGACCGACGGACCAAAUUGCUUAUCUUUAGUACCAUCGUUGGAUUAUAACCAUUCAUUCGACACCUCAUUUGUCAUUCUACCUGGCAUAAUGACGGAGUAGUUACAUUCGCGGUCGGACGGACAGAUGGACAGACAGCCUUGGUCAAAUUUAUCAGCUUUAGUACCAUCCUUGGAUUAUAGGCUUUCAUUCGACACCUCAUUCGCUAUUCUACCUGGUACAGUGACGGAGGAGUUAUAUUCGCGGUCAGGCAGACCGACGGACCAAAUUGCUCAUCUUUAGUACCAUCCUUGGUUAUAAGCUUUCAUUAAAUGUUCUAAACAUUAAUUACAUUUUCAUUCUAAAUUAGACAAUUAGACAAAUUUGAGUGAUAUAAUUGUUCUUCCCUGGUAUAAUUUUAUAAUAUUGGGACAUGAGAAGUAGGUAACAAACUAUGAUGAACCAAUAUGCGAAAUAGAUUUUUCCAAUACUUUUGGUUUAGAUUUUACCACGAGAUACGAGCACAGUAUUUAUCCGAGUAAAAUUUUCAGCGAGACCCCGUCCUUAAACCUCCUAGAAAAUGAAAAGUUCGCACCUCAUAUAUAAAACGAUUUCGAGUCAUCUUAGCGAGACCGCACCUGCAUACCUCUCUGUACUGAAACUAAACUAUCAGCUGACUAUAAAGUCUGGAGUCCGCGGCUUCGCUUAGAUAUCUAUUGCGUUAUUUCUCCGAUAGAGGCAGCAUCUCUCGGGAAAGAAUCUUUUCUCUCUGUUGCACUGCGACUUGGGGACCUCUCUUUCAUACAACGGCCGGCCUUAAAGAUGCCAGCUUGCGACAUUACGAAUUUAUUCCUUUCAUUUGCACCAUACUGUGUGUGUGAAAUGUAUUUUUUUAUGUUGAACUUAUCACCAUCCCAUGAUAAAAUUAUUAUAUAUUAUUAACAACAGUACUAUGUAUUUGUAGGAAUAUUAUGAAAAUUUUAAAUUAUGUACUUUUUGGAAAAAAACUAAAAAAACUUAUCAAAAUAUUUUUUUUUGUUUGAGAAAAACUUGUUUAUCGUAGCAUCGUGCUGUAUAAUAUUAUAUCACUGUAAAGAGCUUUAAAAAUGCUGCAAAAUGACACCCCUCCCAGCAUUCUAGACUAAUCAGGUCAGCUUCUACCACCAUUCCAAUAAAGUAUGGUCGUGGUGUUUUGGACCUUUUUGGAAAACUUUACAUAACCAUAUUUCGAAAAGGGCUUGAGAUAAAAAUUUAAAAUUUUGUAUUUUUCUUUCACUUAUUAGCCACUAUGAGUAUUCCAAAUUAUAACCAAAUCUGAAGAGAGGUCGAAAUUAGGUGUGUUGAGUUGAUAUGAAAUGACCCAUUAGAAAUAUUUUCUGGGUAAAUUUUGAAGGUUCUUUGUUGCUUUUACAUAAGUGAAGAAUAUUAUUGAAAAAACAUUAAUUUUUUAUCUGUUUUUAAUGGUUUUUGCUAAUUUUGCAAUAAUAAUAAUAAUUUUUGCUAUUUUUAAUCAAUUCUGUCUUGCAGAAAAUUUAAUUGCAAAACUUUUUUGUUUGUACAUUCUUUUUCUAAAAUAACUGCUGAGAAAUAUCAACGAAAAGAAGAAAAAUAAAAUGUGUGUGGACUUUGUACGCACGUAAGAAGUUAUACUUCUAUUAUGUGAUUUCAACGAAAUAAAUAUAUUUUAAACAG
This is a long non-coding RNA of Diabrotica virgifera virgifera (western corn rootworm), 10982 nucleotides long. RefSeq lists it as uncharacterized. The transcript is spliced from 2 exons. NCBI's taxonomy places the organism in Eukaryota, Metazoa, Arthropoda, Insecta, Coleoptera, Chrysomelidae. The record is from RefSeq and is a predicted model, not a curated record.